GGGGCUGUAGCUCAGUGGAAGAACCUCUGCUUGGCAUGCCAGGCCCCGGGUUCAGUCCCCGACACCCCCA
Molecule: transfer RNA, 70 nt
Filed under: Sphaerodactylus townsendi
Lineage: Eukaryota; Metazoa; Chordata; Lepidosauria; Squamata; Sphaerodactylidae
Description: tRNA-Ala
Source: RNAcentral